GGUUCGCUAGCUCAGUUGGUUAGAGCGCCGCCCUGUCACGGCGGAGGUCAGGGGUUCAAGUCCCCUGCGAAUCGCCA
Molecule: transfer RNA, 77 nt
Filed under: Christensenellaceae bacterium
Lineage: Bacteria; Bacillati; Bacillota; Clostridia; Christensenellales; Christensenellaceae
Description: tRNA-Asp
Rfam family: tRNA
About the family: Transfer RNA (tRNA) molecules are approximately 80 nucleotides in length.
Source: RNAcentral